GGGAAGGGAACUACCUUUUAUUGCAUUUCUCCUAAAUCCAGGUGCUUUACAUAGAUUAUCUCAGAUAAGUUAAUCCUAGGCAGCAACCCAGGAGGAUUGUCAUUUAACAGACAAAGAAAGGGAGAUUUAGGGAGGUUGGGAAAGUUACCGAAGAGCUCAAGAAAAGCAGGCAGAUGUGGGGCCAAAGUCCAGAAUGUUCUCAGGGACACAGCACCAGCUAAAACGCAGAAAACCAAUGACUCUUAGACUCAUUUCUGGGCCUCCGACUGAGCAAGAGAGAGAAGGAUCUUCAGGAGUGAAAAUGAAGCAGACCCUCGCUGAGUUUAAAGGAGAUCUGACUGACAUUGGGAAGUGGCAUCCAAUAAGAUGCGUGUUUCUUCUGUCCGCUCCAGGAUGUGUCAACAGGAGAACUGAAAGCUGAAGGUGAGAGUGAAGUUUGAUUGAAGGAGAAGAGUUGGUUCAGAAGCUCAGUGAGGUCACUGCUGCUGGGGAGAGGCAGAGGGGCGCACACCAGUCACUGCUGCAAAGGGGGAUGUCUUCGAGGCAAGGGUGCUUUGAAAGGAAAUGGUUUUGAAAAGCUUCUGCUAACCUUACCCACACACGUGAAUGUCCCAGAGUCACGGCCUCCUGCUUCACUUCGCCCUGGAACAUCAUAUGUGAAUUCUCUUCUGCCUGCAUCAGCCUCUCCAUGUGCAGAUCCGUCUCAAGAGACCCCUUCAGCCGAUGCCCUCUGUGCCCCCGACACAGCCCCUUGGCCCUUGCCUUCCACACACCCGCUGCACCAGCUUCCUCCUGGCAGCACCUUCCUUUCUGCUUGAGGCUUUCCCAGGCCUCCUGCCUCUGAGAAAGUCAGAAGUUGAAGCCUCCUUGAGAGCCCGUGAGAGCUCCCUCUCCCCUGGGCAAGCGGUGCUGAUGCGUGAUCUCCGAAUCCGUCCACCAAACAGCCACUGCAGGACUGAGCUCCAGCGGCCACCAUGGAGGCAGCAGGAAAGAGAGCGCUGCUGUAUCGGGUGUGCACACCCACAGGAGCACCUGUAAACCAUGAACACACCCACAUGAGCCAG
RNAcentral lists this long non-coding RNA (1064 nucleotides) under Callithrix jacchus (white-tufted-ear marmoset). RNAcentral's name for it is "lncRNA (ENSCJAG00000069057.2)". The record is from RNAcentral. Lineage: Eukaryota; Metazoa; Chordata; Mammalia; Primates; Cebidae.